UUCAGGUUGAAAACUUUGAAGGAGGGAUCUGUGUUUUGCCAAGGAAGUGCCUUCAAUUCCCAGUGGUCACCUCAAGAUCAUGUUCUCAUCUGAUGAAGAAAUGUCUUUUCUCAUCAUGUGGGAAUUCAUCUCACUGGAUAUGAUUUGCUUGGUUGGUAUUACAUUCUGAGACAGCCCUGCCACCAUGUCUGGAUCAAGUCAUUCACUGUCAAUGUCUCCAUUGCCUUUAAUUUGGCACUUGAAUGAUUUCAAACAAUGAAAACAUGUUGAGUGACGACGAUGGUUAUAAUGCCCUGCAUUACUGAACAAUAAAAAUUAUUGAAGCA
Long non-coding RNA from Esox lucius (northern pike), 326 nucleotides. RefSeq lists it as uncharacterized. Lineage: Eukaryota; Metazoa; Chordata; Actinopteri; Esociformes; Esocidae. The transcript has 2 exons. The record is from RefSeq and is a predicted model, not a curated record.